RNAcentral lists this long non-coding RNA (510 nucleotides) under Pollicipes pollicipes. RNAcentral's name for it is "uncharacterized LOC119113769". The record is from RNAcentral. Lineage: Eukaryota; Metazoa; Arthropoda; Thecostraca; Pollicipedomorpha; Pollicipedidae.
ACAAAGUGCGCCAUUUAUCGCGCUACGCUUUUCGUGCCCCUGCGUGGGAGGGGGAGGCACCGCUUGCAGUUGGAUGGAGUCGAUGAUUGUGCGCUGUGGUCAGCAGAGAUAUCUGGAAGUGCAUAAGAAGUCAUUGGCACCAGCCUCUUGUGGAGCUAUACUGGGCAUCGGGUGCUGAAACAUCAUGAAACCAUCUGUGGUGGCUGAUGAGAUGUUCCCAGACAAUGCUGCCAAUCAAUUUAUGGAUGUCUCCAUGGAGGAGAACAUGUCUGGCAUGGACCGUACCGGCAUCUUGGACCUGGCAGGCAAUGAGAAGAUAGUACAUGCGGACUUCCCCAACAACUUUGGCGACCUGUUCGACGACGACGACCUGGAAUGAAGCUGUGUGAGUCCCCUCCGUCUACCAGUGACGUCACCCGGCCGCCAGCCGGACGCCGGCGCCGCGCUUCGUCACUGCUCCUCCUUGUCGCGCCGUGCUGACAAUUACAGCUGACCGCGAGGCUGACUAAA